CUUUUACAAUGAAGAGUUUGAUCCUGGCUCAGGAUGAACGCUAGCUACAGGCUUAACACAUGCAAGUCGAGGGGCAUCAGGAAGAAAGCUUGCUUUCUUUGCUGGCGACCGGCGCACGGGUGAGUAACACGUAUCCAACCUGCCCUUUACUCGGGGAUAGCCUUUCGAAAGAAAGAUUAAUACCCGAUGGCAUAAUGAUUCCGCAUGGUUUCAUUAUUAAAGGAUUCCGGUAAAGGAUGGGGAUGCGUUCCAUUAGGUUGUUGGUGAGGUAACGGCUCACCAAGCCUUCGAUGGAUAGGGGUUCUGAGAGGAAGGUCCCCCACAUUGGAACUGAGACACGGUCCAAACUCCUACGGGAGGCAGCAGUGAGGAAUAUUGGUCAAUGGGCGCUAGCCUGAACCAGCCAAGUAGCGUGAAGGAUGAAGGCUCUAUGGGUCGUAAACUUCUUUUAUAUAAGAAUAAAGUGCAGUAUGUAUACUGUUUUGUAUGUAUUAUAUGAAUAAGGAUCGGCUAACUCCGUGCCAGCAGCCGCGGUAAUACGGAGGAUCCGAGCGUUAUCCGGAUUUAUUGGGUUUAAAGGGAGCGUAGGUGGACUGGUAAGUCAGUUGUGAAAGUUUGCGGCUCAACCGUAAAAUUGCAGUUGAUACUGUCAGUCUUGAGUACAGUAGAGGUGGGCGGAAUUCGUGGUGUAGCGGUGAAAUGCUUAGAUAUCACGAAGAACUCCGAUUGCGAAGGCAGCUCACUGGACUGCAACUGACACUGAUGCUCGAAAGUGUGGGUAUCAAACAGGAUUAGAUACCCUGGUAGUCCACACAGUAAACGAUGAAUACUCGCUGUUUGCGAUAUACAGUAAGCGGCCAAGCGAAAGCAUUAAGUAUUCCACCUGGGGAGUACGCCGGCAACGGUGAAACUCAAAGGAAUUGACGGGGGCCCGCACAAGCGGAGGAACAUGUGGUUUAAUUCGAUGAUACGCGAGGAACCUUACCCGGGCUUAAAUUGCAGUGGAAUGAUGUGGAAACAUGUCAGUGAGCAAUCACCGCUGUGAAGGUGCUGCAUGGUUGUCGUCAGCUCGUGCCGUGAGGUGUCGGCUUAAGUGCCAUAACGAGCGCAACCCUUAUCUUCAGUUACUAACAGGUCAUGCUGAGGACUCUGGAGAGACUGCCGUCGUAAGAUGUGAGGAAGGUGGGGAUGACGUCAAAUCAGCACGGCCCUUACGUCCGGGGCUACACACGUGUUACAAUGGGGGGUACAGAAGGCAGCUAGCGGGUGACCGUAUGCUAAUCCCAAAA
RNAcentral lists this ribosomal RNA (1289 nucleotides) under Bacteroides fragilis. RNAcentral describes it as "bacterial SSU rRNA". It matches the Rfam family "Bacterial small subunit ribosomal RNA", at positions 1 to 1279 of the family's 1533-position model. Lineage: Bacteria; Pseudomonadati; Bacteroidota; Bacteroidia; Bacteroidales; Bacteroidaceae. The record is from RNAcentral.